Molecule: ribosomal RNA, 301 nt
Filed under: uncultured bacterium
Lineage: Bacteria
Description: partial 16S ribosomal RNA
Rfam family: Bacterial small subunit ribosomal RNA
Source: RNAcentral
CAGUCGCCGCGGGAAUACGUAGGGUGCAAGCGUUAAUCGGAAUUACUGGGCGUAAAGCGUGCGCAGGCGGUUAUAUAAGUCGGAUGUGAAAUCCCCGGGCUCAACCUGGGAACUGCAUUUGAGACUGUAUGGCUAGAGUGUGUCAGAGGGGGGUAGAAUUCCACGUGUAGCAGUGAAAUGCGUAGAUAUGUGGAGGAAUACCGAUGGCGAAGGCAGCCCCCUGGGAUAACACUGACGCUCAUGCACGAAAGCAUGGGGAGCAAACAGGAUUAGAGACCCGCGUAGUCCCUGUCUCUUAUAC